AACAUAUUAAUUUCAGAGACUCUGGCUCUGUGUUAAUACUCAAACAUUCAGAACUUAUAAGAGUGAAGAAAGAAGUGUACAUUCAGGUAUGGAAGAGGCAACACAAUGAACAAAGUCCAAAUCAAGAAAUCUAAAAACACAAAGGGAUACUGUACUUUAAAAAAAAAGGCAUAACGUUAUAUUGUCUAUGAAAUAUUAGUGUUUUUGGAAGUGUGUAAGGAAGUGUGUAUUUUUUUAAUGAUCCUUUGUUGCUAGUCAUGUAGACAGUAUCAGAUGUAAGAUAACAUCAAGACCAGAUAUAAGAGAAUAAUAAGAACAAUGGAAGAUGCUUUUUGUGCUAUUGUGUAAGAUUUAAAGUGAUUACUGUGUCUUCAUGCUAAAGUAUUCUCGGCUUACUUUCUUUGUUUUGGUGUUAGGACAGACACAUGUACAUCUUGUACUUUUUGUGUUUGUUGGAGGAAUAGUAUGAGAGCUGAAAAAGUCACAUGACAAUACCCCUCACACAGUUUUCAACAGCUACUUGACUAUUUGUUUUGCUCGAGGAGAAAAUCAGCACCGAUCCUGUUUCAUGUUUAACGUGCACCUACAAACAUGUAUUCUUUCAAUGUGAAUGUGUGACCUUGUAAAGGAGUUACGUCACCUACGUUUGACGAGGCGGUGACUGAGUUAUGACGUGUGAGUUAAAAGACACGAGCGCAACAGAGACAAGGAAAAACGCAGCACAAAGUAACCUAACAAGAAAUCACAGAA
Molecule: long non-coding RNA, 750 nt
Organism: Labrus mixtus (cuckoo wrasse)
Lineage: Eukaryota; Metazoa; Chordata; Actinopteri; Labriformes; Labridae
Exons: 2
Source: RefSeq, a predicted model, not a curated record